This 393-nucleotide ribosomal RNA is filed under the name uncultured bacterium. Its description in RNAcentral is "partial 16S ribosomal RNA". It matches the Rfam family "Bacterial small subunit ribosomal RNA", at positions 523 to 918 of the family's 1533-position model. The record is from RNAcentral.
AUACGGAAGGUCCGGGCGUUAUCCGGAUUUAUUGGGUUUAAAGGGAGCGCAGGCUGAUUGUUAAGCGUGACGUGAAAUGUAGCCGCUCAACGGCUGAACUGCGUCGCGAACUGGCAGUCUUGAGUGAGUACGACGUCAGCGGAAUUCGUGGUGUAGCGGUGAAAUGCUUAGAUAUCACGAAGGACCCCGAUUGCGAAGGCAGCUGACAAGCCCUUUACUGACGGUAAAGCUCGAAGGUGCGGGUAUCGAACAGGAUUAGAUGCCCUGGUAGUCCUCACGGUAAACGAUGGAUGCCCGCUGUUGGCGAUACAAUGUCAGCGGCCAAGCGAAAGCGUUAAGCAUCCCACCUGGGGAGUACGGUGGCAACGGUGAAGCUCAAAGGAAUUGACGGGG